GUAAAUCACCUGGAGAAUGCACGUGACCUGGUGAAUUGGAGUGUCACCUGGGAAGGACAUGUGGCUCGGUGAUUGGAUAUGUCACCUUGGCGAAAAGGUAGCUUUAGAUAAUGCAUGUGGCUCGGAGACUCGGUAUGUCUUUCUAGAGAAUGGAUGUGGCUCGGUGACAGAGUAUGGCAUCGUAAAAAGGGUCGGGUGGGACCAUAAAGCCACUAGAUCUUGAGAGGGUCAGAUGGGACCGUAAAGCCAUUAAAUCUUGGAAAAGUCGGAUGGGACCAUAAAGCCAUUGAAUCUUGAGAAGGUCGGGUGGGAC
This 313-nucleotide long non-coding RNA is filed under the name Eucalyptus grandis. RNAcentral's name for it is "long non-coding RNA (EGRA_LNC005463)". The record is from RNAcentral. Lineage: Eukaryota; Viridiplantae; Streptophyta; Magnoliopsida; Myrtales; Myrtaceae.